Molecule: ribosomal RNA, 548 nt
Filed under: uncultured Glomeromycotina
Lineage: Eukaryota; Fungi; Glomeromycota
Description: SSU rRNA
Rfam family: Eukaryotic small subunit ribosomal RNA
Source: RNAcentral
UUGGAGGGCAAGUCUGGUGCCAGCAGCCGCGGUAAUUCCAGCUCCAAUAGCGUAUAUUAAAGUUGCUGCAGUUAAAAAGCUCGUAGUUGAAUUUCGGGACCAUCAUGUCGGUCGUGCCUCGGUACGUACUGGUAUUGUUGGUUUCUCCCUUCUGACGAACCAUGAUGUCAUUUAUUUGGUGUUGUGGGGAGUCAGGACUGUUACUUUGAAAAAAUUAGAGUGUUUAAAGCAGGCUCACGCUUGAAUACAUUAGCAUGGAAUAAUGAAAUAGGACGUUUGAUUCUAUUUUGUUGGUUUCUAGGAUCGACGUAAUGAUUAAUAGGGAUAGUUGGGGGCAUUAGUAUUCAAUUGUCAGAGGUGAAAUUCUUGGAUUUAUUGAAGACUAACUACUGCGAAAGCAUUUGCCAAGGAUGUUUUCAUUAAUCAAGAACGAAAGUUAGGGGAUCGAAGACGAUCAGAUACCGUCGUAGUCUUAACCAUAAACUAUGCCGACUAGGGAUCGGAUGAUGUUAAUUUUUUAAUGACUCAUUCGGCGCCUUACGGGAAAC